AAUAGAUACCCGGGUAGUCCAUGCCGUAAACGUUGGGCACUAGGUGGUGGGACUCACUCAACGGGUUCCGUGCCGUAGCUAACGCAUUAAGUGCCCCGCCUGGGGAGUACGGCCGCAAGGCUAAAACUCAAAGGAAUUGACGGGGGCCCGCACAAGCAGCGGAGCAUGUUGCUUAAUUCGAGGCAACGCGAAGAACCUUACCUGGGUUUGACAUGUACGGAAAAGCCGCAGAGAUGCGGUGUCCUUUUGGGCCGUACACAGGUGGUGCAUGGUUGUCGUCAGCUCGUGUCGUGAGAUGUUGGGUUAAGUCCCGCAACGAGCGCAACCCUUGUCCUAUGUUGCCAGCGGGUAAUGCCGGGGACUCGUAGGAGACUGCCGGGGACAACUCGGAGGAAGGUGGGGAUGACGUCAAAUCAUCAUGCCCCUUAUGUCCAGGGCUGCAAACAUGCUACAAUGGCCAGUACAAAGGGCUGCUAUACCGCGAGGUUGAGCGAAUCCCAUAAAGCUGGUCUCAGUUCGGAUUGGAGUCUGC
This 532-nucleotide ribosomal RNA is filed under the name uncultured bacterium. RNAcentral's name for it is "bacterial SSU rRNA". It matches the Rfam family "Bacterial small subunit ribosomal RNA", at positions 777 to 1308 of the family's 1533-position model. The record is from RNAcentral.